Molecule: long non-coding RNA, 449 nt
Filed under: Lathyrus oleraceus (garden pea)
Lineage: Eukaryota; Viridiplantae; Streptophyta; Magnoliopsida; Fabales; Fabaceae
Description: Pisum sativum (pea) long non-coding RNA (PSAT_LNC001008)
Source: RNAcentral
AAUGGCCAAGAAAAUUAUGGGAGGUUGAGAAUAAAAUAAGAAACAUAUAAUAAAAUUUUCAGAAUUUAAAAAUGUAGAAGAAUAUUUUUAAACCAAUUAAAACAAAUGAAAAAAGAGAAAAUUCAUGAAAAAUAAAAAAUCAGUGAAAUAAAAUGUGAAAAAAUAAAAAUCAGGUGAAGAAAAAGAAUAAAGAAUUUUAGAAAUUAUUUUGGGAUUUUUUGGAUGAAAAAUGAAAUUACUAUGAAUUUUAAAAGAAAAAAGCAAUUAAAAAUAAUAAAAGAAAAUGAAUUAAAAUCAGAAAAAAUACGGAGCGUUGGAUCACACCUCAUUAGGAUGCACGAUGGAACGCGCUACAAACAACACAUGAGAUCCAAUACAAAACCAACCAAUCAAAACAUUUCGUUUGUCCAAGGUGUCUGGCCAAACUCAGACGACCUGGAACACUUCGG